Molecule: ribosomal RNA, 565 nt
Filed under: uncultured bacterium
Lineage: Bacteria
Description: bacterial SSU rRNA
Rfam family: Bacterial small subunit ribosomal RNA
Source: RNAcentral
AGAGUUUGAUUAUGGCUCAGGAUGAACGCUGGCGGCGUGCUUAACACAUGCAAGUCGAACGGGCUCAUAUUGAAACCUAGUGAUGUAUGAGUUAGUGGCGGACGGGUGAGUAACGCGUGGAGAACCUGCCGUAUACUGGGGGAUAACACUUAGAAAUAGGUGCUAAUACCGCAUAAGCGCACAGCUUCGCAUGAAGCAGUGUGAAAAACUCCGGUGGUAUACGAUGGAUCCGCGUCUGAUUAGCUGGUUGGCGGGGUAACAGCCCACCAAGGCGACGAUCAGUAGCCGGCCUGAGAGGGUGAACGGCCACAUUGGGACUGAGACACGGCCCAAACUCCUACGGGAGGCAGCAGUGGGGAAUAUUGCACAAUGGGGGAAACCCUGAUGCAGCGACGCCGCGUGAGUGAAGAAGUAUUUCGGUAUGUAAAGCUCUAUCAGCAGGGAAGAAAAUGACGGUACCUGACUAAGAAGCCCCGGCUAACUACGUGCCAGCAGCCGCGGUAAUACGUAGGGGGCAAGCGUUAUCCGGAUUUACUGGGUGUAAAGGGAGCGUAAACGGCAGCGC